This 68-nucleotide transfer RNA is filed under the name Marmota monax (woodchuck). RNAcentral describes it as "tRNA.Ala". The record is from RNAcentral. Lineage: Eukaryota; Metazoa; Chordata; Mammalia; Rodentia; Sciuridae.
UUGUGACUCAGUGGUAGAGUGCUUACCUAGCAUGGUUGAGGACCUGGAUUCAAUUCCCAGUACAUAAA